Non-coding RNA from Camellia sinensis, 202 nucleotides. Lineage: Eukaryota; Viridiplantae; Streptophyta; Magnoliopsida; Ericales; Theaceae. The record is from RefSeq and is a predicted model, not a curated record.
AGAGUAGGCGAAGAUGAUGCCAGAUCUCUUUUUUGUUGAAGCUCCUCAUCGCCAAUAAUUUCACCCAAAUUCAGCCUUUUGUACCGUUGCAUAUCUUUGUCUAUAUGCCCGUUGGAAUCUCCAUCUAUAAUUAUCUUCUCUCUUCCAGAUCUAUGGAAUGCAUUACAAGUUCACAACUUCGUCAGAACUAGUUCUGUCAGAG